GUUUCCCGUGAUUAGUGAGCACUUUCAAUUUCAGAUGUCACCCCACAUUUUGGAAGCAGACAACUGUUCUCAUCCAGACAUACCACAGUUACAACUGGUACAUCUCAACACAAUCACAAGACCUGCAGGAAUCUGGCACGGUGAGACCCCCUGCCAGAGUACACCCGGUAGUUGGGAUCAGGGUAGUACUGGUCCAGGUUGAGUGUGUAUGCACAUUUACAAUUCCUUGGUACCCUGAAAGAGAAAACAUCAAGUACAGAUCUUUAUAAAAUGUCACACAUAACAGCCUCUGAAAUGGAAAUCAGCCUGCCAGCCUCUUGUGCAGUAGGAAUGAGGAGGAUUGACUCAACUUGCAUUUGGUCAAUGACCGUAUUGGCCACCACAGUGUCAGAAAUAUCAAGAAUGGACCACAGGGAAGAGUAUUUAGAAGAAGAUGUCUCAAACCUAGACACAUCAAGAACCUGCAACCAAAUUAAAAUAAUGUAACUGGAUAUAGACAGACCAAGAUAUUAGUCUUUAGUAAUAAAAGUGUAAAUAAU
Scylla paramamosain (green mud crab) is the source of this 539-nucleotide long non-coding RNA. RefSeq lists it as uncharacterized. The transcript has 3 exons. Lineage: Eukaryota; Metazoa; Arthropoda; Malacostraca; Decapoda; Portunidae. The record is from RefSeq and is a predicted model, not a curated record.